This 386-nucleotide ribosomal RNA is filed under the name uncultured bacterium. RNAcentral's name for it is "bacterial SSU rRNA". It matches the Rfam family "Bacterial small subunit ribosomal RNA", at positions 29 to 416 of the family's 1533-position model. The record is from RNAcentral.
AUUGAACGCUGGCGGCGUGCUUAACACAUGCAAGUCGUGCGGUAACAGGCGUAGCAAUACGUGCUGACGAGCGGCGAACGGGUGCGUAAUACAUGGGAAUCUGCCCUUUGGUGGGGAAUAACCCGGCGAAAGCCGGGCUAAUGCCGCAUAAGAUCUUCGGAUGAAAGCGGGGGAUCGUAAGACCUCGCGCCGAUGGAUGAGCCCAUGUCGGAUUAGCUAGUUGGNGAGGUAACGGCUCACCAAGGCGACGAUCCGUAGCUGGUCUGAGAGGACGGCCAGCCACACUGGGACUGAGACACGGCCCAGACUCCUACGGGAGGCAGCAGUGGGAAUAUUGACAAUGGGCGAAAGCCUGACGCAGCGACGCCGCGUGAGGGAUGACGGCC